Molecule: ribosomal RNA, 368 nt
Filed under: uncultured organism
Description: bacterial SSU rRNA
Rfam family: Bacterial small subunit ribosomal RNA
Source: RNAcentral
CGUAGGGUGCAAGCGUUGUCCGGAUUUAUUGGGUUUAAAGGGUGCGUAGGCGGCCUUGUAAGUCAGUGGUGAAAUACUCCAGCUUAACUGGAGGGGUGCCAUUGAUACUGCAGGGCUUGAGUUAAGUUGAAGUUGGCGGAAUUGACGGUGUAGCGGUGAAAUGCUUAGAUAUCGUCAAGAACACCGAUAGUGAAGACAGCUAACUAAACUUUUACUGACGCUGAGGCACGAAAGUGUGGGGAUCAAACAGGAUUAGAUACCCUGGUAGUCCACACUGUAAACGUUGAUUACUCGCUGUGUGCGAUAUACAGUACGCGGCCAAGCGAAAGCGAUAAGUAAUCCACCUGGGGAGUACGCCGGCAACGGUG